GACGAACGCUGGCGGCGUGCCUAAUACAUGCAAGUUGAGCGCUGAAGGUUGGUACUUGUACCAACUGGAUGAGCAGCGCACGGGUGAGUAACGCGUGGGGAAUCUGCCUUUGAGCGGGGGACAACAUUUGGAAACGAAUGCUAAUACCGCAUAAAAACUUUAAACACAAGUUUUAAGUUUGAAAGAUGCAAUUGCAUCACUCAAAGAUGAUCCCGCGUUGUAUUAGCUAGUUGGUGAGGUAAAGGCUCACCAAGGCGAUGAUACAUAGCCGACCUGAGAGGGUGAGCGGCCACAUUGGGACUGAGACACGGCCCAAACGCCUACGGGAGGCAGCAGUAGGGAAUCGUCGGCAAUGGAUGAAAGUCUGACCGAGCAACGCCGCGUGAGGGAAGAAGGGUGUCGGAUCGUAAAACUCGGUUGGUAGAGAAGAACGUUGGUGAGAGUGGAAAGCUCAUCAAGUGACGGUAACUACCCAGAAAGGGACGGCUAACUACGUG
RNAcentral lists this ribosomal RNA (497 nucleotides) under uncultured bacterium. RNAcentral's name for it is "partial 16S ribosomal RNA". It matches the Rfam family "Bacterial small subunit ribosomal RNA", at positions 28 to 507 of the family's 1533-position model. The record is from RNAcentral.